GAUGAACGCUGGCGGCGUGCCUAAUACAUGCAAGUCGAGCGACCAGACGAGGAGCUUGCUCCUCUGACGUUAGCGGCGGACGGGUGAGUAACACGUGGAUAACCUACCUAUAAGUCUGGGAUAACUUCGGGAAACCAGAGCUAAUACCGGCUCAUAUAUUGAACCGCAUGGUUCAAUAGUGAAAGACGGUUUUGCUGUCACUUAUAGAUGGAUCCGCGCCGCAUUAGCUAGUUGGUAAGGUAACGGCUUACCAAGGCAACGAUGCGUAGCCGACCUGAGAGGGUGAUCGGCCACACUGGAACUGAGACACGGUCCAGACUCCUACGGGAGGCAGCAGUAGGGAAUCUUCCGCAAUGGGCGAAAGCUUGACGGAGCAACGCCGCGUGAGUGAUGAAGGUCUUCGGAUCGUAAAACUCUGUUAUUAGGGAAGAACAAAUGUGUAAGUAACUAUGCACGUCUUGACGGUACCUAAUCAGAAAGCCACGGCUAACUACGUG
This 497-nucleotide ribosomal RNA is filed under the name uncultured bacterium. RNAcentral describes it as "partial 16S ribosomal RNA". It matches the Rfam family "Bacterial small subunit ribosomal RNA", at positions 28 to 507 of the family's 1533-position model. The record is from RNAcentral.